GAGCUAUCCCACACAUAAGCAAGCAGACGCUUCACAAGCUUACCAGGAAAUAACCCAGCACCAGCCCGCCGGAUAACAUCCCACCAUGUGCCGAGGACUUGAACUGUUGCCAAUCACCUGCCUGGAGAGGGCGAAGGAGCUGAAAGCUCUUUUUGGAGGUUUGCUGCACAAGUCGGAUCACAGCAUCCCCGUGCAGCC
Molecule: long non-coding RNA, 198 nt
Organism: Hippocampus comes (tiger tail seahorse)
Lineage: Eukaryota; Metazoa; Chordata; Actinopteri; Syngnathiformes; Syngnathidae
Exons: 2
Source: RefSeq, a predicted model, not a curated record